Long non-coding RNA from Oreochromis aureus, 956 nucleotides. RefSeq lists it as uncharacterized. Lineage: Eukaryota; Metazoa; Chordata; Actinopteri; Cichliformes; Cichlidae. The transcript is spliced from 3 exons. The record is from RefSeq and is a predicted model, not a curated record.
GCCGUGCCGCCCGGGUAAUGGAGGAAAUGAGUGUGCCAACUAGAGAAAAAUCAACCGAGAGCGUGGCUGAAGGGAACCGAAGAGAUUGUCGAACGGAAGGGCCAUAGAAGUUCCGUAGUGUGAAGAGAAAACGUCUGAGGUGAAGUCCUGCUGUGGAGUCGGUGUGUUCAUAGGUUUGUGGUUUUCUGGAGUUCUGACUGUCGCUGCAGCUCUGGCUGCAUCUGUAGCUGCAAAGUGCAUCAGAAAACACAAGAAAGCUUCUCAGAGAAACCAGAGAGACGAUCCUUCUAAGGAAGCUUGUAACGGUGACACUGAGCUCACAAACUGUUUAACAUCGUGUGUGUGUGUCACUCAAAACCUUAGGGACUCGAACCACAAACAGUAACUCUGAGAAAUCAGAGAUAGUUUUUACUUUUGUCUUCCUGUUGCGUCGGCUUGUUGGAGGAACGUCUGUCUGUAUUGGAGGUGUUCACGUCUGUUUUUAAAAUCUCUCAGGAUGAAAAACUGUUUUUAUUCAGAGUCAUCAGCAGCUGUUCUUUUCACAGUGAUGAAGUUUGUGCUGUUAAAACUCAAAAUGAUGGAUUUAAGAACCGAGCUGCUGUCAAAAUGUUAUUUUCAUUGUCUAUUUUAUGUUUAUAAAGCAGUUUGUGAUGUUGAUUUUUAAUGAGCGUGAUACAAAUAUUAUCUUAUUAUUUUUGGUUUUGAUUCAUGUUGAUUACAUCAAGCUUCAUAAUCAUAAUUUUCUUUUUGUUUUUUUGGACUGACAUAAAAGCACCAAAGCUCAUAGCACUUUGAACAAGUAUGAUUAUGUGUGGAAAAUACAUAUUUACAUGAAUGCUCCUGAAUAGAAAAUUAGAAGAGAAUGUUUCAGUCUUCAUAAUCAGGACGGACGUAUUUAUGACGAGUAAAUCGGAAGAAGAUUUGGCUGAUCCUGUAAAAACUUCUGACCCUUUAAA